UACGAAGGGGGCUAGCGUUGCUCGGAAUCACUGGGCGUAAAGGGUGCGUAGGCGGGUCUUUAGGUCAGGGGUGAAAUCCUGGAGCUCAACUCCAGAACUGCCUUUGAUACUGAAGAUCUUGAGUUCGGGAGAGGUGAGUGGAACUGCGAGUGUAGAGGUGAAAUUCGUAGAUAUUCGCAAGAACACCAGUGGCGAAGGCGGCUCACUGGUCCGAUACUGACGCUGAGGCACGAAAGCGUGGGGAGCAAACAGG
RNAcentral lists this ribosomal RNA (253 nucleotides) under uncultured bacterium. Its description in RNAcentral is "partial 16S ribosomal RNA". It matches the Rfam family "Bacterial small subunit ribosomal RNA", at positions 524 to 776 of the family's 1533-position model. The record is from RNAcentral.